RNAcentral lists this ribosomal RNA (393 nucleotides) under Traumatophora triscalpta. RNAcentral describes it as "partial large subunit ribosomal RNA". It matches the Rfam family "Archaeal large subunit ribosomal RNA", at positions 2005 to 2688 of the family's 2987-position model. RNAcentral also lists the same sequence under 1 other name. The record is from RNAcentral. Lineage: Eukaryota; Metazoa; Mollusca; Gastropoda; Stylommatophora; Camaenidae.
UAGCCGCAGUACCUUGACUGUGCAAAGGUAGCAUAAUCAAUUGGCUUAUAAUUGAAGUCUGGAAUGAAUGAACAUAUGGGUGACUACUGUCUCUUGUAAAUUAACCAAAUUUAUUAAAUAAGUGAAAAUGCUUAUAAUUAAAUAAUAGACGAGAAGACCCUAGAAAUUUUGAAUAUUGUGUGAAUUAAUUUUUGUUGGGGCGACAUAGUAGCAUAAUAACCUACUAUAAAUACAUGAAGCUUAGUGUGAAGGAAGAACAAAUUACUCUAGGGAUAACAGCAUAAUUUAAAAGAGUUUAUGACCUCGAUGUUGGACUAGGAACUUGAAGUUUAAAAGAUUAAAAAUUUGGCUCUGUUCGAGCAUUUAUUCCUACGUGAUCUGAGUUCAGACCGG